GAUGAACGCUGGCGGCGUGCCUAAUACAUGCAAGUCGAGCGAAGCGGGGAAGGGUGAGGAACAGGUGGAUAACCUCCUAUAAGACUGGGAUAACUUGGGGAAACCGGAGCUAAAACGGCUACUAAUAGAUGGAUCCUCGUGGCAUUAGCUAGUUGGUAAGGUAACGGCUAACCAAGGCAACGAUGCAUAGCCGACCUGUGAGGGUGAUCGGCCACACUGGAACUGAGACACGGUCCAGACUCCUACGGGAGGCAGCAGUAGGGAAUCUUCCGCAAUGGGCGAAAGCCUGACGGAGCAACGCCGCGUGAGUGAAGAAGGUCUUCGGAUCGUAAAACUCUGUUAUUAGGGAAGCGGUACCUAAUCAGAAAGCCACGGCUAACUACGUGCCAGCAGCCGCGGUAAUUC
Molecule: ribosomal RNA, 405 nt
Filed under: uncultured bacterium
Lineage: Bacteria
Description: partial 16S ribosomal RNA
Rfam family: Bacterial small subunit ribosomal RNA
Source: RNAcentral